This 270-nucleotide ribosomal RNA is filed under the name uncultured bacterium. RNAcentral describes it as "partial 16S ribosomal RNA". It matches the Rfam family "Bacterial small subunit ribosomal RNA", at positions 793 to 1055 of the family's 1533-position model. The record is from RNAcentral.
GUCCACGCCGUAAACGAUGGGUGCUAGGUGUCGCGGGCUUUGACCCCUGCGGUGCCGCAGCUAACGCAUUAAGCACCCCGCCUGGGGAGUACGGCCGCAAAGGCUAAAAACUCAAAGGAAUUGACGGGGGCCCCGCACAAGCGGUGGAGCAUGUGGUUUAAUUCGACGCAACGCGCAGAACCUUACCUGGGCUAGAAAAUGCGAGAACCUGGUUGAAAGGUCGGGGUGCGUCUUCGGAGAACUCGUAGUUAGGUGCUGCAUGGCUGUCGU